This is a long non-coding RNA of Zeugodacus cucurbitae (melon fly), 1496 nucleotides long. RefSeq lists it as uncharacterized. NCBI's taxonomy places the organism in Eukaryota, Metazoa, Arthropoda, Insecta, Diptera, Tephritidae. The record is from RefSeq and is a predicted model, not a curated record. The transcript is spliced from 2 exons.
UUGAAGAAAUACUUAUGCAUUAAUAAAUGAUAAUAAAAAUACAAUUUUGUUAAACUGUAUUCAGCAGAACUAUCAAAAAAAAACGAGAAAAAUUAAUUGUUUUUCGUUGCGCCCGAGUGUAUGGUAUGUUAUACUCUGUCAGUAUGUUUCGCAGAGUAAUAUUUUUUGGUCACCUAACGAUUGGAUGUAACAGCUAAAAGUAAUGGAGAUAGAUAUGAGGUUAUGCCUAUAUACAGCAAAUGAUUAAAAUGACGUGACUCAUUUCGACCAUUCAAGCUAUAAAAUUGAGAUAUCUUCAUAAUACUUGGUAUAUGUGUUCCAUUUUGAAAGUGCUAAAUCGAAACAUUUCCACCCCCACAAAAUAUAAAAUAUAACAGGAAAUUUAAUUACAACGACACCUACUUCUCAUAUAAUACGGAUUUUCGACCAGAUUUCUCAUUGUACGGAAUUCGACCAGAUUUUGUAAUUUUACAAUAUAGAAAUCAAAAUCACAUUAAUAUGUCGGAUAAAACCAUGUAAUAAGGUUGUAGUGGCUUCAAAGUGUGGAUAUUCUAUUCUAAAAACUGUUCUUAUUGGAUCAAAGCCCCCGAUACUUUUUACCGAGAAUUUAUGUCAAUCAUUGCUAUACAAAAAAUCAUAAAAAUAUAGUCUGAUCCAAUUUUUUUUUUUUUGUAUACCAAAUUUUACUUUCAUAAAAUUCAAUUUGGCUUAGUUAUAGCACUUUAUAAGAUUGCGGUUGCGCCAAUUUGUGGGCGUGGAAGUGGUCGGAUUUCACCCAUCAACAAUAUUUUCACUCUUACGGUGCCAAGGAACACUAAGCUUUCUCAAGAUAUCUCAAGUUAUCGUUGGCGCGGACAAACGGACGGACAGGCAUCUGGAUUUCAAGUCUACUCGUCACCCUGAUCACUAUGGUAUAUAUAACCUAUUAGUUCUAGGUGACAGAAACAACCGUUACAUUGGGCUCCUUAAUUAAGAAGACUAAUGAAUCUAAGGCUAGGCAACACCUAGUGUCUUCGUUAUGUCUAUAACGUUGUGUGUAUAUUGCAAAAAUAGGGGAAUAUGAAGGAAUGGACUUUUUACGAGGCUUAGAAGUUCGAAGUUGCAUCCAGCACUUAAAAAUAUAUUGUCUAGUCGUUUAAAAUAUACAUACUGUAGUAUUGCCUGCGAGAACAUGCGCUCAACAAACUCCUUCACCGAGAAAAUGUCCUGUUGCAUCUUCACUGCGGUAGGUGAAAGAUCUCCGCGACCGCUUCUGGAACUACAUAAAGUAAUACAAAAUGGUUAAAUUUUCCAUGCAGAUACUAAAACUCUUAUUAUUUACCUUCUUAAUGAUUGUCUAGACUGUUCUGGUGCGCGUCGUACUUUGAUUUUCAGUAUCAAACCCUUGGAAAACUUAUUCUUCAAAUGCUGCGUUGAGCCAAUACACUUGAAUUCGCCAUUAACCAUGAUUGCCAACCGUGUGCAUAACGCCUCACACUCCUCCAUACUAUGCGAUG